This 467-nucleotide ribosomal RNA is filed under the name uncultured bacterium. Its description in RNAcentral is "partial 16S ribosomal RNA". It matches the Rfam family "Bacterial small subunit ribosomal RNA", at positions 28 to 507 of the family's 1533-position model. The record is from RNAcentral.
GAUGAACGCUGGCGGCGUGCUUAACACAUGCAAGUCGAACGGAAAGGCCCAAGCUUGCUUGGGUACUCGAGUGGCGAACGGGUGAGUAACACGUGGGUGAUCUGCCCUGCACUUCGGGAUAAGCCUGGGAAACUGGGUCUAAUACCGGAUAGGACCACUUCUUGGAUGUUGUGGUGGAAAGUUUUUUCGGUGUGGGAUGAGCUCGCGGCCUAUCAGCUUGUUGGUGGGGUAAUGGCCUACCAAGGCGUCGACGGGUAGCCGGCCUGGGAGGGUGUACGGCCACAUUGGGACUGAGAUACGGCCCAGACUCCUACGGGAGGGAGCGGUGGGGAAUAUUGCACAAUGGGCGCAAGCCUGAUGCAGCGACGCCGCGUGGGGGAUGACGGCCUUCGGGUUGUAAACUCCUUUCGCUAGGGACGAAGCGUUUUGUGACGGUACCUGGAGAAGAAGCACCGGCUAACUACGUG